Molecule: long non-coding RNA, 418 nt
Organism: Perca flavescens (yellow perch)
Lineage: Eukaryota; Metazoa; Chordata; Actinopteri; Perciformes; Percidae
Exons: 3
Source: RefSeq, a predicted model, not a curated record
GAAUCACGGGUGUGACGGGUUGCCGGAGGAGAGUUUUGUUUUUAGUACUUUUUAUGCAGAAGUAACCUGUUUUAUUUUAAAUCAAGUAUUUAAGAGUCAUACUGUGGAACAUUUUUUAACAGUGGAAACCCUUUUUUGCUGGCAUAACAGCUUCUACUCUGUGGGCGUUCCCUCUAUUCUCUUCUCCACUGCUGUCAGUUGUCCCUUUCACCUCCAGUCUUCAUCAUAUCAGCGACCAGUCCUGCUCCACAUUCCAUCAUCCAGGGCUUCACCAACUCUCUUCACCCCCACCACCACCACCUGUGUCUAGACCCCAGGGGGAAAUAUCCUGAACUAAUCACAGCAUCACUACCCCCCUAAAUAUAUCAAGUCACGAUGGGGUCUAAUCGCCAUAAGACUCUUCUCUAAUACUUUUUGU